UACGUAGGGACCAAGCGUUGUUCGGAUUUACUGGGCGUAAAGGGCGCGUAGGCGGCAUGACAAGUCACUUGUGAAAUCUCCGGGCUUAACUCGGAACGGUCAAGUGAUACUGUCGCGCUAGAGUGCGGAAGGGGCAAUCAGAAUUCUUGGUGUAGCGGUGAAAUGCGUAGAGAUCGGGAGGAACACCGGUGGCGAAGGCGGGUCUCUGGGCAAUUCCUGACGCUGAGGCGCGAAAGCGUGGGGAGCAAACGGG
This 253-nucleotide ribosomal RNA is filed under the name uncultured bacterium. Its description in RNAcentral is "partial 16S ribosomal RNA". It matches the Rfam family "Bacterial small subunit ribosomal RNA", at positions 524 to 776 of the family's 1533-position model. The record is from RNAcentral.